GAAACAUUGAUCAGUUGCCUCUCGUCACGCCCUGACCGGGGACCAAACCCACACUUAAACAUGUGUUCUGACUGGGAAUUGAACCUGUGACCUUUCCUUUGUACAAUGAGGCCCAACCAAGACACACCAGUCAGGAGGGUCCUCUACUCCAGAAGAGGAAAAGGAAGGAAGGAGGAUAUAGCCUUGGAUGUAGAAAGAAUUGGAAGAGCUAGCCUAGAAAAUGAACCUCAGUGACGAGGAGAAAAACUACUUCUACAGGCAAAGAAGACCUGUUGGGAAAACAGAAGGUCUGCAAGCAGGAGACACAGAAUUCCAUGGCAGGUGGAUUCUCCUUAGCUGUCAGUAACUUCUCUAAGUGCUGGUGACAGGGUGGUGAUUUCUAAUGACAGUCAUCCCAGGCAUCAGGAGGCCACGCAGGAACUGGGAGGAGAAUAGAAUUUGCGAGGCACCUCGUAAAACUCCACAUUAAGAAGACAUGAAAAAGCAGUUCACACAACUGCGAUGACAAUCAGCAAAGAAACACAGGCUGCUGAUCACCACAAGUAACCCAGAACGUUAAAACUGAAGCAACACUGAAAAUGACUUUAUGUUUAGUAAACAAGUCUCUUCCCACUGCUUCACACAGGCCGAGAAUUUUGGAUUUUGUUCACUGUUCUCCUGGACCCAAGAGAGUGGCCAAUCAUAGCAGAAACUCAAUAAAUACUUGUUAAAUGUAAAAGA
This is a long non-coding RNA of Phyllostomus hastatus (greater spear-nosed bat), 720 nucleotides long. RefSeq lists it as uncharacterized. NCBI's taxonomy places the organism in Eukaryota, Metazoa, Chordata, Mammalia, Chiroptera, Phyllostomidae. The transcript is spliced from 2 exons. The record is from RefSeq and is a predicted model, not a curated record.